This 431-nucleotide long non-coding RNA is filed under the name Penaeus japonicus. Its description in RNAcentral is "uncharacterized LOC122243186, transcript variant X2". The record is from RNAcentral. Lineage: Eukaryota; Metazoa; Arthropoda; Malacostraca; Decapoda; Penaeidae.
CAGCAGUGGUUUGUUCUGGCAACAGUGUCAUUCAAGCUUUUCCAACAUGAUUCGCACUGUUCUCGCAACCCUUUUCCUGGCAGCAGCGGUCGUGGAGGCCCAGUAUGGCUACCCAAAGCCCUGCCCUCCUGAGGUCAAAUACGUGACCGAGACGGAGACAGUGCCUCAUUAUGUCACCGUGACCCGCUACCAAACCCAGACCAAAUACCAUACCGCCUAAACUACCCAGUACGUGACAGAGACAGAAGCUGUGCCCAAGUAUGUGACGCAGACACAGGCAGUGCCCCAUUACGUGACGGAGACAGUGCCAAAGUACGUGACCACAACCAUCCCGCAGCAGGAAUACGUCACUGUCGACCAGUACUGCAAGCCCUCCGGAGGUUAUGGCUACAGCGGUUGAAAUGCAGAACAUCAUUAUUAGAAUACACGGA